GUCACGCCCGAAGUCGUUACCUCAACCGCAAGGAGGGGGAUGCCUAAGGCAGGGCUAGUGACUGGGGUGAAGUCGUAACAAGGUAGCCGUACCGGAAGGUGUGGCUGGAUCACCUCCUUAAAGGGAGACCUAAUUCAGGUAUGGGACGAAAAAAAAGUAGUCCCUACCAAGAAUCAAUCCCAAAAGGUCGGAGCGAGGCAUGAGGCUUUCAAACUAGGUUCUGGGUUCACACAAGACCUGAAUCAGGAACAAGGGCUAUUAGCUCAGGUGGUUAGAGCGCACCCCUGAUAAGGGUGAGGUCCCUGGUUCGAGUCCAGGAUGGCCCACCUGCACAGGUGGCAAAAACAAAAAAAAGAAGCGAGGAAUCAGCACCUUAUCUUAUAUACAUAUAUAAGAGAGAAUGCUGGCUCUGAGUACAGAGUCCAGAGGAACCUUGAAAACUGCAUAGAGCUAGGUGAAAAAGCCAAAAAAGAAGACCGCAAGGUCAAGCUAAUAAGGGCUAACGGUGGAUACCUAGGCACACAGAGG
RNAcentral lists this unclassified non-coding RNA (528 nucleotides) under Microcystis flos-aquae CPCC 461. RNAcentral's name for it is "partial contains 16S ribosomal RNA, 16S-23S ribosomal RNA intergenic spacer, and 23S ribosomal RNA". The stretch from base 1 to 120 matches the Rfam family "Bacterial small subunit ribosomal RNA", at positions 1414 to 1533 of the family's 1533-position model. The record is from RNAcentral. Lineage: Bacteria; Bacillati; Cyanobacteriota; Cyanophyceae; Chroococcales; Microcystaceae.